RNAcentral lists this unclassified non-coding RNA (331 nucleotides) under soil metagenome. RNAcentral's name for it is "partial contains 5.8S ribosomal RNA, internal transcribed spacer 2, and large subunit ribosomal RNA". The stretch from base 1 to 120 matches the Rfam family "5.8S ribosomal RNA", at positions 35 to 154 of the family's 154-position model. The record is from RNAcentral.
GAUGAAGAACGCAGCGAAAUGCGAUAAGUAAUGUGAAUUGCAGAAUUCAGUGAAUCAUCGAAUCUUUGAACGCACAUUGCGCCCCCUGGUAUUCCGGGGGGCAUGCCUGUUCGAGCGUCAUUUCACCACUCAAGCCUCGCUUGGUAUUGGGCAACGCGGUCCGCCGCGUGCCUCAAAUCGACCGGCUGGGUCUCCUGUCCCCUAAGCGUUGUGGAAACUAUUCGCUAAAGGGUGUUCGGGAGGCUACGCCGUAAAACAACCCCAUUUCUAAGGUUGACCUCGGAUCAGGUAGGGAUACCCGCUGAACUUAAGCAUAUCAAUAAGCGGAGGA